Molecule: long non-coding RNA, 1061 nt
Filed under: Felis catus (domestic cat)
Lineage: Eukaryota; Metazoa; Chordata; Mammalia; Carnivora; Felidae
Description: lncRNA (ENSFCAG00000051419.1)
Source: RNAcentral
GGGGGGAGGUAGGAGGGGGUGGGGACCUACCUUUGGCGCCAAAGUUCUAGAUCACGUGGGCCGCCGAGAGGAGCGCCCAGCAGCUGGAGUCCAGCAAGAUAGUCGUGACUGCAGGGGCGAGGGGCGGGGUGCCUCACUUCUCCCCGCCUCCGCACCGCUGCGGGGGACCUGCUGGCUCCGGUGAGUGUGGCGCGGUGCAGCGGGUCCUCGCAGUGUCCCAGGGACUCGGGGAGCGCACGGCAGGUAUCUCAGAAGCCCUGUGCUCAAGAAGGGAGGUAGCAUCAUCUUGGCCGGCUUGGAGUUUCCGGAGUUUCCAGGCAUAUGAUUUGUCAGAGGGAAGACUGAGUGUUGAGUACCACCCUGGUAUGCACCGAAUCAAGAUAGUAAGAGGAGAGCUUAGUUACUGCCUCAGAUAACAUCGGAUACUCCUUUAUUAGCACCGAAAUUCCCAAGGUAAUGGCCCAUUCUUAAUAAGAAGUAUAGUUCAUUUUUUAAAAGUUUAAUGAUUUAUUUUGAGAGUGUGUGUGUGUGUGUGUGUGUGUGUGUGUGUGUGCACGAGCAAGGGAAGGACAGAGAGAGAGAGAGAGAGGGAAAGAGAGAAUCCCAGAUAGGCUUCACUCUGUCAGCGUAGAGCCCAACACAGUGCUCAAACCCACCAACCGUGAGAUCAGGACCUGAGCUGAAAACAAGAGUCAGAUGCUUACCUGACUGAGCCGCCUAGGUGCCCCAAAUGUAAGUUCAUUUUAUUUUAUUUUUUUAAUUUUUUUUUAACAUUUUAUUUAUUUUUGAGACAGAGAGAGACAGAGCAUGAAUGGGGGAGGGGCAGAGAGAGAGGGAGACACAGAAUCGGAAGCAGGCUCCAGGCUCUGAGCCAUCAGCCCAGAGCCUGACGCGGGGCUCGAACUCACGGACCUCGAGAUCGUGACCUGAGCUGAAGUUGGCCGCUUAACCGACUUAAGUUAACCGCUUAACUUAAAUGCCACCCAGGCGCCCCUGUAAGUUCAUUUUAAAGAGCAAAUGUGAUUAUUCAGUUUAGCAUUCCCAGGGGUUUAAUAAUGUGG